This 227-nucleotide long non-coding RNA is filed under the name Sorghum bicolor (sorghum). RNAcentral's name for it is "long non-coding RNA (SBIC_LNC009288)". Lineage: Eukaryota; Viridiplantae; Streptophyta; Magnoliopsida; Poales; Poaceae. The record is from RNAcentral.
CAAGGGUAUUCUAUAAUCUUCAUGACUCCUAUUCUCAGGAUGUCUUGAUGGAUUUCUAGGGUCAUUAUGAAGUUUAGUAGAAGGAGCAUAGAAAGAUUUAUUGGGGUCAAGGAUGGGUUAGAGAUGGGUGCAAAGACAUUUAAUAUGGGCAUAGAAGGGGAGAAGAUAGAAUUUAUUUCUAAGUGGCUUGGCUCUCCUUCUAUGGCAUCACUUGGCAUGCCAUUCUU